GCUCCCUUAAACCAAGCGGAUGCCCUUCUCGUUAAAUAUGCCGAGACAGCAGGCGCCUUUCCUCAGCUGAGACGCACACCUGCUGGACCCGACGCCGACGCAACACUGCCUGGCGUGAGACUACCUUUAAGAGACUGGAGCGAAAUGGCAUAACCAGUGAACCCAGCCAAGGAAACUCACCAGCGCAGAAAUAGGGCGGCGCCCCUCUGCUCCUCUAAGCGGGGGUCCCCAGGAGCGCUCCAGAAAGCCCGCGCGCCGCUCGGAGCCGCGGCUGUUCCUGACGGCUGCCGCGAGCGGCUGAGCCCGUGUCCUGCCAAAUAUGGGCACGCGAGAGUGCUGUGGUACUGGCCCAGCAAACUGGCUGUGAGCCAAAACAAAAGCCAGACAGAAGCUCAAGAAACUGUUACACCGACCUGCACUUCCUUUCCAAAGACAGUGUUGGAGAGAUA
RNAcentral lists this long non-coding RNA (449 nucleotides) under Lepisosteus oculatus (spotted gar). RNAcentral's name for it is "lncRNA (ENSLOCG00000022571.1)". Lineage: Eukaryota; Metazoa; Chordata; Actinopteri; Semionotiformes; Lepisosteidae. The record is from RNAcentral.